This 253-nucleotide ribosomal RNA is filed under the name uncultured prokaryote. RNAcentral describes it as "partial 16S ribosomal RNA". It matches the Rfam family "Bacterial small subunit ribosomal RNA", at positions 525 to 777 of the family's 1533-position model. The record is from RNAcentral.
ACGAGAGGCCCAAACGUUAUUCGGAUUUACUGGGCUUAAAGAGUCCGUAGGCGGCGCAGAAAGUUGGGUGUGAAAUCCCUCGGCUCAACCGAGGAACUGCGCCCAAAACUACUGUGCUCGAGGGAGACAGAGGUGAGCGGAACUUAGGGUGGAGCGGUGAAAUGCGUUGAUAUCCUAAGGAACACCGGUGGCGAAAGCGGCUCACUGGGUCUCUUCUGACGCUGAGGCACGAAAGCUAGGGGAGCGAACGGGA